This 253-nucleotide ribosomal RNA is filed under the name uncultured bacterium. RNAcentral describes it as "partial 16S ribosomal RNA". It matches the Rfam family "Bacterial small subunit ribosomal RNA", at positions 524 to 776 of the family's 1533-position model. The record is from RNAcentral.
UACGUAGGGACCAAGCGUUGUCCGGAAUCAUUGGGCGUAAAGAGCUCGUAGGUGGUUUGUCGCGUUGUUCGUGAAAACUCACAGCUUAACUGUGGGCGUGCGGGCGAUACGGGCAGACUGGAGUACUGCAGGGGAGACUGGAAUUCCUGGUGUAGCGGUGGAAUGCGCAGAUAUCAGGAGGAACACCGGUGGCGAAGGCGGGUCGCUGGGCCGAUACUGACGCUGAGGAGCGAAAGCGUGGGGAGCGAACAGG